GUGGCAUCACGGCCCCACCUGGCAAUUUUUCUCAACUUGGUGGCAUCACGGCCCCACCUAGCAAUUUUCUCAACUUGGUGGCAUCACGGCCCCACCUGGCAAUCUUUAAUCCAACUCACAACCUCACACAGUUACUUUCCCUCCAAGUACCGACAUUUUCCCAAUUUUGGGACAAAUUCUCAUAUUCACCAAUUUCACUAAAAUUUCAUAAUCUGAUUCUCGAAUAAAUAAACUGAAAGCACCAUUGGAAUCAGCACAAAAUUUCGGUCGUCGGCUAUCCCAGCCUAAUUUCCGGAAAAUAAUUAAUUAAUUAAUUAAUUA
This 321-nucleotide long non-coding RNA is filed under the name Eucalyptus grandis. RNAcentral's name for it is "long non-coding RNA (EGRA_LNC000385)". The record is from RNAcentral. Lineage: Eukaryota; Viridiplantae; Streptophyta; Magnoliopsida; Myrtales; Myrtaceae.